AACGAACGCUGGCGGCAUGCCUAACACAUGCAAGUCGAACGAGACCUUCGGGUCUAGUGGCGCACGGGUGCGUAACGCGUGGGAACCUGCCCUUAGACUCGGAAUAACUCCCUGAAAGGGGUGCUAAUACCGGAUAAUUUCUUCGGAUCAAAGAUUGAUCGUCUUUGGAUAAGCACGCGUUGUAUUAGCUAGUCGGUAGGGUAAAAGCCUAUGAAGGCUACGCUCGAUACCUGGUCUGAGAGGAUGGUCAGCCACACUGAGACUGAGAUACGGCGCAGACUCCUACAUGAGGCAGCAGAGGGGAAUCUUGGACAACCGUGUAGAGCCAGAUCCAGCAAUGCUGGGAGAGUGAUUAUGUCCUGAGAGAUGUAAAGCACUUUUACCCGGGAUGGUAAUGACAGUACCGGAAGAAUAAGCACCGGCUAACUCCGUG
This 433-nucleotide ribosomal RNA is filed under the name uncultured bacterium. RNAcentral's name for it is "partial 16S ribosomal RNA". It matches the Rfam family "Bacterial small subunit ribosomal RNA", at positions 29 to 507 of the family's 1533-position model. The record is from RNAcentral.